Molecule: ribosomal RNA, 433 nt
Filed under: uncultured bacterium
Lineage: Bacteria
Description: partial 16S ribosomal RNA
Rfam family: Bacterial small subunit ribosomal RNA
Source: RNAcentral
AACGAACGCUGGCGGCAUGCCUAACACAUGCAAGUCGAACGAGACCUUCGGGUCUAGUGGCGCACGGGUGCGUAACGCGUGGGAACCUGCCCUUAGGUUCGGAAUAACUCCCCGAAAGGGGUGCUAAUACCGGAUAAUGUCUUCGGACCAAAGAUUUAUCGCCUUUGGAUGGGCCCGCGUUGGAUUAGCUAGUUGGUAGGGUAAAAGCCUACCAAGGCGACGAUCCAUAGCUGGUCUGAGAGGAUGAUCAGCCACACUGGGACUGAGACACGGCCCAGACUCCUACGGGAGGCAGCAGUGGGGAAUAUUGGACAAUGGGCGAAAGCCUGAUCCAGCAAUGCCGCGUGAGUGGUGAAGGCCUUAGGGUUGUAAAGCUCUUUUACCCGGGAUGAUAAUGACAGUACCGGGAGAAUAAGCGCCGGCUAACUCCGUA